UGUUUAAUUAAAACAAUGCAUUGCGAUGGUCCCUGCGGAUGUUUACGCAAUGU
This 53-nucleotide ribosomal RNA is filed under the name Nicotiana attenuata. RNAcentral describes it as "rRNA LSU_rRNA_eukarya". Lineage: Eukaryota; Viridiplantae; Streptophyta; Magnoliopsida; Solanales; Solanaceae. The record is from RNAcentral.